AGACUCUCGCCAAGGAUCAGGAAAUGGAACCAAGAAUGCAACACAAACACUGGAAGUAUGCGCCAUGAGUUUGCACAUUCCACGAACAUUCUCUAUAAAAUACCCAACAAAGUGGCUUCAGCUGCAGUUUACUUCAUCCAGAAGCAAGCGUAACUACUCGAUUUAGGUGAAUCCUCUUUGUGCGUUUAUCCCAGCGCCGAUCAACGAAAUCUCAGUGUUCGUCGGACGCGAUUCGAUUCUGGGAACAAGAUCGGGAGAGAGAAAGAAACAGCGGGGGAAAGAGAUAGCGUGUUCGGCCACGAGGAAGAGGAUACUCUAUCAAGCCCAAGUGACACAAAGAAAUACACGUGUUCGGUGAACGUUGGUAUCCUUUGGCUAAAAAUCUGCACUAUUAUCUCAGGUUACAUGCUGCGGAGAUUUAUGACUAAGAAAAAAGAUAUCCGUAGACCUGGAUCACACGUGCUGACCGUGUGUCGGCUCCUGAGUCGUCUGAACCCGAUGGUCAUAAAACAAAUUGACCGACCGUGAAGCCUAAUCUCUCGCGUUCGGUCUUUUUGGGACCGGACAUACCUGUUAACCUCCUGUUGGACGCACUGGCAUGUGUCAACCAGUCUCCCAUUCACUAUCUCAUCUAAACAUGCUAUACUGCAAGACCGAGAGAGAUCUUCAGGGGAAGAUCGAGUAAGGAAAAUCGAUGGAAGGAAAUUGAAGUCACGGAGCACACACACAAUCUGCUCAGCCGGCUCGUGCACCACGAGGCGAACUUUGCUCGCCGUGUACUCCGAUAAACCGUCGAAAUGGGUCAGAGCCGUGACCUUUUCUGCCUUCCUACGUGCCGUGGCGAGGAUGUAUAGCCGUGUCAUGGAUCUACGUUGGCUUCGACGUUGCCUUUAAACGCCAACAUGUUUCCGUGACCGUCGCGCGACGAUAAUACGUCGUCGCUCGAUCACGUUGCGACGAACAUUACGAAACUCUUGCGAUCAAUUAUUGUGUACCGCUAAUAAACCGUUCCCACUGUUCAAAAACACUGUUGGGCGACACUGUCGGGAGACAGUGUGGGGAAAACACUGUGGCAAAGGACUGCACACUUUUAAAUCCCUCGAAUAUAAACACUUUCGUUCGAAACAUUUUUUUAUACAUGUAGUUCACAAGAAAAAUUGAAGUAGAAGAAUUAAAUGACUCUGCCUGUAUUUGAUUUAACAAGAGUGGAAUAAGAAGCGAAAGUAUUUACAAUUCGAUCAUCUGAAGUUUAUUAAAUAUUCGACAAUACAUGUAACUCACCCCGAAUGGGAAAUAUUAUUCAAUAAAUAAAAAUAACUAUGCUUAUAUUUUAUAAAGUUGUUUCAGGAUAUUUGUAAGCUAGCAGAACAGGGUGUCUAACAGUCGACAAUCCGAGUUUAGGAAAAGCGCAUAUUCAACCCGGCUACCGAGAACAGUUGUCUCAAAUCGACUUUGUCACCGGAUCGUGGCAUCUGCGAGAAGGGUGGAUCAGUCCUCGGCUAGAAUGGACAAUAUCUCGAGCAAAGGUUAACGUCCAAGUGACGGAGACUAUGUGCAGAUGCGAAUCUUUCGCGUUGUCCUCGAGGGAAGGGGAUGCGCCACCAAUGACGUCAGUGGAAUGCAGAAACGAGCAUAGCAAAUUGCAAGUGAUAUCACGCAAUCUGAAAUUCGUUCGCUGGCUACGUCGUCAUCUCGUUCAUGAUUGAGCGGCGUUUUUCUUAGCUGUCGUCAAUGGGAAAUCGGAUCCUUUAGAAACUGAGUAAAUGUCCCUCUACUCAAAUAGUUAUUUGAAUGUUCAUAUAUAUUACACAUUUUUAGUGAUAUUAGUUAGUUAUUAACAUUAAGUUCUGAUAAAAGUUCUCAUUAAAUUUUAGUUAUCAAGUUCUGAUAAAAGUUCUCGAAAUCCUGGACAUUGUAAUGAAUAAAAUAGUUUUCGAAAAUAGUAGCUAUUUCGUAGAAAUUAAGUUGUAACGUUAAGGGUUCACGUAAUAUAACGCGUUUAUUUCUGAAGGGUUUAGUUGAAUAUAUAAAGUGAAUUUUUUAUUCAGCAAAGAUAUUUUUAACUCGUUAUAUGCUAUGAAAUGUUGCACAUUUGUUUCCUAUUUUUAAUAGUUUAAAUGUUUAAUCGAA
Megalopta genalis is the source of this 2130-nucleotide long non-coding RNA. RefSeq lists it as uncharacterized. NCBI's taxonomy places the organism in Eukaryota, Metazoa, Arthropoda, Insecta, Hymenoptera, Halictidae. The record is from RefSeq and is a predicted model, not a curated record.